GGAGGGUUGGCCGAGCGGUCGAAGGCGGCGGUCUUGAAAACCGCAGUGGGCAACGCCCACCGGGGGUUCGAAUCCCUCACCCUCCG
RNAcentral lists this transfer RNA (86 nucleotides) under Marinithermus hydrothermalis DSM 14884. It matches the Rfam family "tRNA". Rfam says of the family: Transfer RNA (tRNA) molecules are approximately 80 nucleotides in length. Their secondary structure includes four short double-helical elements and three loops (D, anti-codon, and T loops). Further hydrogen bonds mediate the characteristic L-shaped molecular structure. tRNAs have two regions of fundamental functional importance: the anti-codon, which is responsible for specific mRNA codon recognition, and the 3' end, to which the tRNAs corresponding amino acid is attached (by aminoacyl-tRNA synthetases). tRNAs cope with the degeneracy of the genetic code in two manners: having more than one tRNA (with a specific anti-codon) for a particular amino acid; and 'wobble' base-pairing, i.e. permitting non-standard base-pairing at the 3rd anti-codon position. The record is from Rfam by way of RNAcentral. Lineage: Bacteria; Thermotogati; Deinococcota; Deinococci; Thermales; Thermaceae.